CCACGGGGAUUCUCUAUUACGGCGAGUGAGCGGCAAAGCUCAAUUUGAAAUCUGGUACCUUCCUUUCCGUUGUUGUGUUGGGAUACGGGACUUUCGGGCCGUGCCUAGUAUAUGUUCCUUGGACCAGGAAUCGAGUCGGUGAGAAUCCAGAACCCGCUCGUAGUCCGAUUGGAUGUACCGUGCCAUCCGCUAGUCGAGUUGUUUGGGAAUGCGGGAAUGCAUGGGUGGUAAAUUCGUAAAUUUCCUCUAUAUCGGCUAUAGACCGAUGACCGAUAGUACAGUGAUGGAAAGAUCAAAAGAACAAUAGAACUUUGAUGAAAAAGUUAAUGAAAUUGUGAAAUUGGAAAGGGGGAAGAUCUGAAAAUGUGUCUUACCCCCUCUAGACCAGUAGUCUCUGGGAAUGACUAUGCACUCUGAACCUGUGGUAGGUCAGCAGCAGUGAUCGGGGGCGGAAAAUGAAGCUGGGAAGGUGGCUUUCCAGGUUCUGCCGGGGUAGUGUUUAUAGCCAUUGUUGUAAUACGUCCACUGGGGACUGAGGACUGCGGCUUCUUGCCUCGGACGCUCACUAAGGGUUUUUUCAAUGGCCCGUCUUGAACAACGGGAAAAAAU
RNAcentral lists this ribosomal RNA (609 nucleotides) under Schizosaccharomyces sp. R3DOM3. RNAcentral describes it as "eukaryotic LSU rRNA". It matches the Rfam family "Eukaryotic large subunit ribosomal RNA", at positions 66 to 664 of the family's 3401-position model. Lineage: Eukaryota; Fungi; Ascomycota; Schizosaccharomycetes; Schizosaccharomycetales; Schizosaccharomycetaceae. The record is from RNAcentral.